Molecule: ribosomal RNA, 472 nt
Filed under: uncultured bacterium
Lineage: Bacteria
Description: partial 16S ribosomal RNA
Rfam family: Bacterial small subunit ribosomal RNA
Source: RNAcentral
AGUGAACGCUGGCGGUAGGCCUAACACAUGCAAGUCGAACGGCAGCACAGUAAGAGCUUGCUCUUACGGGUGGCGAGUGGCGGACGGGUGAGGAAUACAUCGGAAUCUACUUUUUCGGGGGGGAUAACGUAGGGAAACUUACGCUAAUACCGCAUACGACCUACGGGUGAAAGCAGGGGAUCUUCGGACCUUGCGCGAUUGAAUGAGCCGAUGGCGGAUUAGCUAGUUGGCGGGGUAAAGGCCCACCAAGGCGACGAUCGGUAGCCGGCCUGAGAGGAUGACCGGGCACAUUGGUACUGCGGUACGGCCCAGACUCCUACGGGAGGCAGCAGUGGGGAAUAUUGCACAAUGGGCGGAAGCCUGAUGCAGCAACGCCGCGUUCGUGAUGACGGCCUUCGGGUUGUAAACCGCUUUCGCCUGUGACGAAGCGUGAGUGACGGUAAUGGGUAAAGAAGCACCGGCUAACUACGUG